Molecule: ribosomal RNA, 292 nt
Filed under: uncultured bacterium
Lineage: Bacteria
Description: partial 16S ribosomal RNA
Rfam family: Bacterial small subunit ribosomal RNA
Source: RNAcentral
GUUUCAGCCGCCGCGGUAAUACGUAGGGGGCAAGCGUUGUCCGGAUUUAUUGGGCGUAAAGAGCGUGUAGGCGGCCAUGCAGGUCCGCUGUGAAAACUGGAGGCUUAACCUCCAGCGGUCGGUGGAAACCGCAUGGCUAGAGUCCGGAAGAGGAGAGUGGAAUUCCCGGUGUAGCGGUGAAAUGCGCAGAUAUCGGGAAGAACACCCGUGGCGAAGGCGGCUCUCUGGGACGGUACUGACGCUGAGACGCGAAAGCGUGGGGAGCGAACAGGAUUAGAAACCCUUGUAGUCC